This is a long non-coding RNA of Lolium perenne, 2510 nucleotides long. RefSeq lists it as uncharacterized. NCBI's taxonomy places the organism in Eukaryota, Viridiplantae, Streptophyta, Magnoliopsida, Poales, Poaceae. The record is from RefSeq and is a predicted model, not a curated record.
AUCGUGCACGAGCUGCUCCUCCCCAAUCCCUGCACAGCCGCCAUCCACCCAAUCGCCAAGCUCCUCCUCUCCAAUGCCUCUCCUCCUCCUCUCUCUCCCAGCCGCCGCCUUCGCGCCUCUCCUCAUCCACGACGCAUCCCCUCCCGCUCUCCUCAUUCGUGUUGAGGCUGGCGUCUGCUCUCUGCCCCCCCCCCCCCUUGCGCUGCCAUCUGCGGCCUCGACCCGCCCGGUCGAAAUACACGUGGCUGUGGCGACCCGGGAGUAGUGGUUCCUAUGAGAUUUCGCGGCUGUGGGCGAUUUCCUGGCCGGGAUGCUCCUCCUCGCUGUCGAUCUGGCCGACGGCAGGGCGGUUCAUAGCUGGGAACGGCCAUCGGAGCUCCUGCCCCCGCCCCCUGCUCGCACCAAAGGACGGUUUCUUUCCCUCCCUCUCUCUAUAUAUUCCCGGUAACCUCAUUUUUUAGUUAAGCUGCACAUCGCAUCUGGUUAUGUCCCUGCUGUUGUACAGGAUACCACCUCUUUCCUUCUUUCUCUUACCAAUUGUUUUUGCUCAUAGUUCUAUGCUUUAAAUCGGUUGAGAAAUCUAACAGUUUUUCUGUGGCUACUAUACAGAUCUGCUCGAAUACUGCUCAAUUUCUCAGUUUUCAAAUUGCUUGGGGCGAAGAUUCGGUUAAGUGUAAUCUUCAAUCACUAUAUUUGGAAAUUGACUACUGCAAGUUCCAUUUCAGGUCAUGGUUGUCUUACAAUAAUGUGGAGUGCUGCAAAAAAUAUGUCUUCGCUGGCUGGCACUUUGAAUUUGUCCCCAAGGUGUGGUUCUUAUGUGCUAGGCGCCCUAAAUUAUCGGUGAAGUAUUAUAUAUAUUGUUGAAUGGAGGAAGAUAAGUUCAUAGGCUCGGGAUCCAUCUUUUGAUGAAAAAGAAAGGGAAUGGUGCAUAUCAAAGUAAGUUCUUAAUCUGUGUAUGCCACUUUAUCUACGUGUAGACUUAUUUCCAUGGUGUCCAGAUUUGUUCUUAGAGGCCCGUACAGAGGUGGAAGUUCUUUCAUUGUCAAAUUAUAAAUAUUAGUCCUAUGCGGUCCAUCCUACUACAAGAGUACCCAGCAAGAUUUCCACAAAUUAUUUGCUUUUCUGCAAAUGUUCGUUCCUUUUAAAGAAAAGUACAUCCUACGGUCCUAGCUUGAACCUUCGGUCGUAUAUAUGUGUCGGUGUACACCCUGCAUGUGUGUAGAUCCAACUAUUAUGUAGCCCACUUAUAUGCUAUUUCUGACAAUAAGUAAGACUGUCAACAAACCCAUGUUCCAGAAACAAGAAUGUUUUUGAGCCUUUCAUGUACAGCCAACAGAAGUAAAUAAUAAUAACACCUACGGCUUUAAGGUGAAUAAACAAUGCAACAAACAAUCAUACGGAAAGAAUUAGCCUAUCAAUAUUUUGUACAGAAACAAUUGAGGAAAUAUAAAUGACUUUGCGGUACUUACCAAUUACAGGUUCAACUUCGGUAUUUUAUCAUCAUGAUGGCUCUUUGUUAGUAAUAAGUAUUAAAAGUUAGUUAUGUUGGUCUUUCAUCCUUACAGUGCAAUCAGAAACCUCUUAAGGUUUACAAACUGUUUUUUUAUUUGGAAUUUUCCCUUUGUGUCUUUUUUCCCUUCUUGAUACCAGACUCCUCCUUGAAUGUUUACAGUAAUGUUUUCACUCCAACUUUGAAAGUUGGACCAGUUCAUCAUCUACCUUGAAUAAGUUCCUGAAUUCUAAUGCAAGUAUCAUUUUGUAACUUAUGUCUUCCUGCGUUGCAUGAUCCGCUGGUUAUCCGUUGGUUAAUCCCUAUUUUCAUCUGUAUACUGAUGUCACAGUUCGCUAUUAUUUUAUAUGCUUUAUCAGAGAGGUUCGCUCUCACAUGUGCAAGAGAUGAUUUGAAGAUUGCAGUGUAGACUUAGAGGAACAACUAUGAGAGGCCAACACUUAGCGGUUCCAGCUUGAAACUCUAUCUGGAGAUGCAUGUUGAUUUGUAUCUAUGUAUUUUUCUAGGACCGAUAGUAGUGCAUAGCAUAUACAAAUUGGUGUUGAACACAUGGAGAUCCAAGACAUAGUCGACCCCAAGUCACCAACUUCUUGUCCUCCACAAACAAAAUGUUGUGGGUUUUUGCUCAAGUCACUAUCCACUGAUGCGAGAGAGCUUGUGCCCUAGCUCUUCAAGUGUGUUCCUUGCCUCUGGGGUCUUGUUGUGAGCACUCUUCGGAUUCUUACCGUUUAUGCUACUGAGCUUUGUUCACGUUCUAUGUAUCAAAGUGAAGGAAGUCACCUAAGCUUCUCAUGUACUCCCAAUUGUUUAGUGGACAAGAACUACUGGAGUAUAUAUGUAGACCUUACACAUGGAGAAGCAAUGUAUUUUUCUCUGAACUUAUACCGCUACUUCACUAUGUGUAAUAUAUUUCUCUGCAUUUUAUAGGUCUGCUUGUUUUUGGACGAUUUAUCAUUGAUCCUUAUAGAUGCAUAAUAGUAUUUUCCCAAUUGUUUACCAA